CACAUCAGAGUCCAGGCACUUUAAAUGCUCUGUAUAGAGUCAUGGUUGUGUCGCUGUUACUACAAUUACUAGUCAUCUCAGUGUUAUUGUGCUGUUUUGUCUGGGAGAGGUCUCCAUGGCGCAGGCGGCUCUUGUGCGGGAUGGUCAUUCAAAAGCUUUUCUUUUUUUUUCUCGUUGGUAUGGAUCUUUAUUGCCUCGGCCAGUGUUGCAUGUUUUUCUUUUCUUAUGGUUCUUGUCGCUUCGGCUUCAAGUCGAUUCAUUUGUGUAUUGUUCUCGUGGGCGGAUACUGCUAGGGCUGUGUUCGUUUUCCUUUGGUGACAUCCCUUUUAUGUUCACUUAAUCUUUGGUCAAGUGUCCUUGUCGUUACUCCUAUGUGCGUCUUGUUCUUGUGUGUUUUAUUAUUUCUAACCAGUAUUUUAUAUACCCCAGUUUUUUGCUUGUUCUCUUUUCUAUCUUUCUCGUUUCUGAGCUGACUGAACAGCAUUGGAUGUC
This 492-nucleotide long non-coding RNA is filed under the name Androctonus crassicauda. Lineage: Eukaryota; Metazoa; Arthropoda; Arachnida; Scorpiones; Buthidae. The record is from RNAcentral.